This 477-nucleotide ribosomal RNA is filed under the name uncultured bacterium. RNAcentral's name for it is "bacterial SSU rRNA". It matches the Rfam family "Bacterial small subunit ribosomal RNA", at positions 413 to 904 of the family's 1533-position model. The record is from RNAcentral.
AGCCUCGGGUUGUAAACCUCUUUCAGCAGGAAUAACGAAAGUGAAGGUACCUGCAGAAGAAGCACCGGCUAACUAUGUGCCAGCAGCCGCGGUAAUACAUAGGGUGCAAGCGUUGUCCGGAAUUAUUGGGCGUAAAGAGCUCGUAGGUGGUCGAUCACGUCGGAUGUGAAAAUCUGAGGCUUAACCUCAGACCUGCAUUCGAUACGGGUUGACUAGAGUGUGGUAGGGGAGACUGGAAUUCCUGGUGUAGCGGUGGAAUGCGCAGAUAUCAGGAGGAACACCGAUGGCGAAGGCAGGUCUCUGGGCCAUUACUGACACUGAGGAGCGAAAGUGUGGGGAGCGAACAGGAUUAGAUACCCUGGUAGUCCACACCGUAAACGGUGGGCGCUAGUUGUGGGAACCUUCCACGGUUUCUGCGACGCAGCUAACGCAUUAAGCGCCCCGGCUGGGGAGUACGGUCGCAAGACUAAAAAUCAA